UGCCAGCAGCCGCGGUAAUACGGAGGGGGCGAGCGUUAUUCGGAAUUACUGGGCGUAAAGGGUGCGUAGGCGGCCCAUCAAGUUAGACGUGAAAGCCCCGGGCUCAACCUGGGAACUGCAUCUCAAACUGGAUGGCUAGAGUAUGUCAGAGGAAAGUGGAAUUUCCGGUGUAGCGGUGAAAUGCGUAGAUAUCGGAAAGAACAUCAGUGGCGAAGGCGGCUAACUGGCUCGGUACUGACGCUGAGAUGCGAAAGCGUGGGGAGCAAACAGGAUUAGAUA
Molecule: ribosomal RNA, 279 nt
Filed under: uncultured bacterium
Lineage: Bacteria
Description: partial 16S ribosomal RNA
Rfam family: Bacterial small subunit ribosomal RNA
Source: RNAcentral